AGUCGACGGGAUUAGUAGACAGAAACCUCGGUGGAAGAUUACUAAUGAGAGUGGCGAACGGGUGAGUAACGCGUGAGCAACCUGCCUAUGACAGUGGGAUAGCCUCGGGAAACCGGGAUUAAUACCGCAUAAAAUCGUAGAAACACAUGUUUUAACGGUCAAAGAUUUAUCGGUCAUAGAUGGGCUCGCGUCUGAUUAGCUAGUUGGUGAGAUAACAGCUCACCAAGGCGACGAUCAGUAGCCGGUCUGAGAGGAUGAACGGCCACAUUGGAACUGAGACACGGUCCAAACUCCUACGGGAGGCAGCAGUGGGGAAUAAUGCACAAUGGGGGAAACCCUGAUGCAGCGACGCCGCGUGAACGAAGAAGGUAUUCGUAUCGUAAAGUUCUGUCCUAUGGGAAGAUAAUGACAGUACCAUAGAAGAAAGCUCCGGCUAAAUACGUGCCAGCAGCCGCGGUAAUACGUAUGGAGCGAGCGUUGUCCGGAAUUAUUGGGCGUAAAGGGUACGCAGGCGGUUUAAUAAGUCGAAUGUUAAAGAUCGGGGCUCAACCCCGUAAAGCAUUGGAAACUGAUAAACUUGAGUAGUGGAGAGGAAAGUGGAAUUCCUAGUGUAGUGGUGAAAUACGUAGAUAUUAGGAGGAAUACCAGUAGCGAAGGCGACUUUCUGGACACAAACUGACGCUGAGGUACGAAAGCGUGGGGAGCAAACA
RNAcentral lists this ribosomal RNA (710 nucleotides) under uncultured bacterium. RNAcentral describes it as "bacterial SSU rRNA". It matches the Rfam family "Bacterial small subunit ribosomal RNA", at positions 60 to 774 of the family's 1533-position model. The record is from RNAcentral.